RNAcentral lists this ribosomal RNA (429 nucleotides) under Chloroflexota bacterium. RNAcentral's name for it is "Chloroflexi bacterium partial 16S ribosomal RNA". It matches the Rfam family "Bacterial small subunit ribosomal RNA", at positions 355 to 776 of the family's 1533-position model. The record is from RNAcentral. Lineage: Bacteria; Bacillati; Chloroflexota.
UAGGGAAUCUUCGGCAAUGGACGAACGUCUGACCGAGCAACGCCGCGUGAGUGAAGAAGGUUUUCGGAUCGUAAAACUCUGUUGUUAGAGAAGAACAAGGACGUUAGUAACUGAACGUCCCCUGACGGUAUCUAACCAGAAAGCCACGGCUAACUACGUGCCAGCAGCCGCGGUAAUACGUAGGUGGCAAGCGUUGUCCGGAUUUAUUGGGCGUAAAGCGAGCGCAGGCGGUUUCUUAAGUCUGAUGUGAAAGCCCCCGGCUCAACCGGGGAGGGUCAUUGGAAACUGGGAGACUUGAGUGCAGAAGAGGAGAGUGGAAUUCCAUGUGUAGCGGUGAAAUGCGUAGAUAUAUGGAGGAAUACCGGUGGCGAAGGCGGCCCCCUGGACAAAGACUGACGCUCAGGUGCGAAAGCGUGGGGGGCAAACAGG